AGUAACGCGUGAGGAACCUGCCUCAAAGAGGGGACGAACAGUUGGAAACGACUGCUAAUACCGCAUAAGCCCACGGCUCGGCAUCGAGCAGAGGGAAAAGGAGCAAUCCGCUUUGAGAUGGCCUCGCGUCCGAUUAGCUAGUUGGUGAGGUAAUGGCCCACCAAGGCGACGAUCGGUAGCCGGACUGAGAGGUUGAACGGCCACAUUGGGACUGAGACACGGCCCAG
RNAcentral lists this ribosomal RNA (227 nucleotides) under uncultured bacterium. RNAcentral describes it as "partial 16S ribosomal RNA". It matches the Rfam family "Bacterial small subunit ribosomal RNA", at positions 109 to 334 of the family's 1533-position model. The record is from RNAcentral.